CCUACGGGAGGCAGCAGUGGGGAAUAUUGCACAAUGGGGGAAACCCUGAUGCAGCGACGCCGCGUGAGUGAAGAAGUAAUUCGUUAUGUAAAGCUCUAUCAGCAGGGAAGAAAAUGACGGUACCUGAGUAAGAAGCCCCGGCUAACUACGUGCCAGCAGCCGCGGUAAUACGUAGGGGGCAAGCGUUAUCCGGAUUUACUGGGUGUAAAGUGAGCGUAGACGGCAGUGCAAGUCUGGAGUGAAAGGCGGGGGCUCAACCCCCGGACUGCUCUGGAAACUGUACGGCUGGAGUGCAGGAGAGGUAAGUGGAAUGCCUAGUGUAGCGGUGAAAUGCGUAGAUAUUAGGAGGAACACCAGUGGCGAAGGCGGCUUACUGGACUGUAACUGACGUUGAGGCUCGAAAGCGUGGGGAGCAAACAGGAUUAGAUACCCCAGUAGUC
RNAcentral lists this ribosomal RNA (440 nucleotides) under uncultured bacterium. RNAcentral's name for it is "partial 16S ribosomal RNA". It matches the Rfam family "Bacterial small subunit ribosomal RNA", at positions 338 to 795 of the family's 1533-position model. The record is from RNAcentral.